UAUAGGUAGCAUUAGUUCGUCAAAUAAACAUCAGUGGAAACGUAACAAACAUUCCUUUGAAACUCCAGGAAGCAAGAGAACAUCGGCACGGAAUGGCAAAGGCCUUGUACUCCAGAACAUUCGCUUGGUUGGUGGAUCAUAUAAACAAGUGCACUAACCCAGGU
Long non-coding RNA from Eurytemora carolleeae, 164 nucleotides. RefSeq lists it as uncharacterized. NCBI's taxonomy places the organism in Eukaryota, Metazoa, Arthropoda, Copepoda, Calanoida, Temoridae. The transcript is spliced from 3 exons. The record is from RefSeq and is a predicted model, not a curated record.